This 332-nucleotide ribosomal RNA is filed under the name uncultured Proteinimicrobium sp. Its description in RNAcentral is "bacterial SSU rRNA". It matches the Rfam family "Bacterial small subunit ribosomal RNA", at positions 568 to 898 of the family's 1533-position model. The record is from RNAcentral. Lineage: Bacteria; Pseudomonadati; Pseudomonadota; Betaproteobacteria.
CGCGUAGGUGGUUAUGUAAGUGAGAUGUGAAAUCCCCGGGCUUAACCUGGGAACUGCGUCUUAUACUGCAUAGCUUGAGUACAUGAGAGGGUAGUGGAAUUUCCGGUGUAGCGGUGAAAUGCGUAGAUAUCGGAAGGAACACCAGUGGCGAAGGCGGCUACCUGGCAUGAUACUGACACUGAGGCGCGAGAGCGUGGGGAGCAAACAGGAUUAGAUACCCUGGUAGUCCACGCCGUAAACGAUGAAAACUAGAUGUUGGGCAGCUUAGACUGUUCGGUAUCGAAGCUAACGCGAUAAGUUUUCCGCCUGGGGAGUACGGUCGCAAGAUUAAA